This 1228-nucleotide long non-coding RNA is filed under the name Falco tinnunculus (common kestrel). RNAcentral describes it as "lncRNA (ENSFTIG00000005450.1)". Lineage: Eukaryota; Metazoa; Chordata; Aves; Falconiformes; Falconidae. The record is from RNAcentral.
AUGGAAAAUGAUGAAGAGGUAAGAUUUCAAAGGGCUGGUAACCCACACAUUUUAUGUAGCAUUAAUCAUGUGCUCUUAAUUUUUCUGCAGCAGAACUCUGCAGCACUGUGUUCCUGCUCUGUGAUUCACGGGGCGGUGGGCGAUGGUGAGCAGCAGAGCCUGGCUGGGACCCCCCCGGCAGUGACAUGGGGGAUGCCGCGCAGCCAGCCCCAUCCACAGGAUGAGAUUUAUGGCCACGUGCCGGAGGUUUCGUGCCUCUGCUCAGAAGUGACAUUUGCGGCACGCUUCUGGGCAGUGUUGCUUCUCCAGCGUUGACCCCAGCUGAGGCAAGAACGGGACGACUCGUGACAGUGGGGUGGGACUGAAGCAGCUUUGGACUUCUGUAGGAAAAUUCAGCUCAGGGGUCCAGAAGCACUCCCCUGCAUCUGUCAGCACCUAUGUAUCGUGUAAUAAUUAAAUGAGUAAAAAAAAGAAAAUAAAAUGCAGGAGUUGAUUUGCUUCUGUUUUCUCCCACUUGUGAGGGUGUUUUUCCUGGCUGGGCUGGGGGUAUUUUCCCCUGCAGAGGGCACUCGCCAUCCACGAACCGGCACCCGGCAGUGCAGGCUGCCUGCAUCCUGAGCAGCAUCCCCCCUAAAAAAACAUGAUAUAUGUAUAUAUAUAUAUAUAAAAAUUUAAAUUAUGAAAGCAAAUUAUUCCCUUGUAGUGCAUAAGGCCAGUCGAAAGAGCAGCUGAGAUAUAAGGAGAAGGGGGGGAGGGACACACCAAAACCCAAACUAGGGGAGUGAAAGGGCCGGGAUGGAGGGUGCUGGGGCAUAGGGGUCUGGUGUGCUGCAGUAACAAAUGGCAAUAAUAAAAAAGGGUGAAAAAAGGAAAGGCUCCAUGGCUGGUUUAAAAUUUAAUAGCGUUGGGAUGAGAGAGGCAAAUGCCGUAAUUAAACCACGAUCCAAAAAAGGGAAAAGCCUACAACAGUGGGGCAAAUACAACAAAUUAUUGUUAGUCUAUAGCCACCGAAGUAUUAACUAUCAUAGCAUUUGAAAAGCAGUAUUUAUUUCAACUGUGUUUCUUUGAUGCUUAUAUAUGAGAAAGGAAUAGACUUACAAAGAGCUCAGCCCACAGAAAUAUCGGCAUCUCUUCGUGUGAGGCUCUAAAGUACAUAUCUGUGAUAAAUAAAUACUCAGCAGCCAAAUGAUAAAACAGUUUACGUAUUAAGUAUUCUGGAGUUUGUGGG